UACGAAGGAUUCGAGCGUUAUCCGGAUUUAUUGGGUUUAAAGGGUGCGUAGGUGGACUAAUAAGUCAGUGGUGAAAGCCCGGAGCUCAACUCCGGAACUGCCAUUGAUACUGUUAGUCUUGAGUACAGUUGAGGUGGGCGGAAUGUGUCAUGUAGCGGUGAAAUGCUUAGAUAUGACACAGAACACCGAUUGCGAAGGCAGCUCACUAAGCUGUAACUGACACUGAGGCACGAAAGCGUGGGGAGCAAACAGG
This 253-nucleotide ribosomal RNA is filed under the name uncultured bacterium. Its description in RNAcentral is "partial 16S ribosomal RNA". It matches the Rfam family "Bacterial small subunit ribosomal RNA", at positions 524 to 776 of the family's 1533-position model. The record is from RNAcentral.